Molecule: ribosomal RNA, 468 nt
Filed under: uncultured bacterium
Lineage: Bacteria
Description: partial 16S ribosomal RNA
Rfam family: Bacterial small subunit ribosomal RNA
Source: RNAcentral
GACGAACGCUGGCGGCGUGCUUAACACAUGCAAGUCGAACGGAAAGGCCCUGCUUUUGUGGGGUGCUCGAGUGGCGAACGGGUGAGUAACACGUGAGUAACCUGCCCUUGACUGUGGGAUAACGUCAGGAAACUGGGGCUAAUACCGGCUAAGAGCUCCUGCUGCAUGUUGUUGGUUGGAAAGUUUCGGCGGGUUGGGAUGGACUCGCGGCUUAUCAGCUUGUUGGUGGGGUAGUGGCUAGGACAGGCUUUGACGGUUAGCCGCACUGAGAGGGUGACCGGCCCCAGUGGGAUUGGGGUACGGCCCAGACGCCAACUGGAGGAAGCAGUGGGAAUUAGUGCAAACUGGGCGGAAGCCUGAUGGAGCAUUUCCGCGUCGUGGAUCACGGUCGUCGGGUUGUAACCCGUUUUAGCGUGGGACGAAGAGUGAGUGACGGUAACGUGUAAAGAAGCACCGGCUAACUACGUG